Molecule: long non-coding RNA, 441 nt
Filed under: Bos taurus (domestic cattle)
Lineage: Eukaryota; Metazoa; Chordata; Mammalia; Artiodactyla; Bovidae
Description: long non-coding RNA NONBTAT023153
Source: RNAcentral
CUUUAAGAAACAGCUCAAAUGCUAUUUUCCUCUGAAGCUGUUUUAUUCUUCUAUCUCCUGAGCAAUGUGAGAGAUUGGGAGCUUAAAAGGAAGAAUAAACAGUGUUCAUACUUCUCAUAAUUUGUUCACAUCACCAAGUGAAACUCUCUCUCUCUCAUUCAAAACUAAUUCCAUAUGGCAGGUAUGGCCACGCUUCAUCCUUUUUGUAGCUCCUUUUCUAGUUCAUUGCCUAAUAUACAGAGAUGGUGUGUAAUGAAAGUUUACCAAAAUAUUUGCUAACUAUGCCACUGAUAAAAGACAGAAUGGCAUGAGUCACACAUACACACAUGUGUACACAUGCACACAGAAAAACUGUCUCCAAGUGAUUGUAGUUAAUAACUUUUAUCUUUGGGAAAGCAAGCAUUUACUCUGAUCCAUGAAUCUUCAGAAAUUCUGAUUUCC